CGGGGUGCAGCAGGCGCGAAACCUUUGCAAUGCGCGAAAGCGUGACAAGGGGACCCUGAGUGCUUAUGUUUAACAUAGGCUUUUGCCAUGGGUAAAUACCAUGGCGAAUAAGUGGUGGGUAAGACCGGUGCCAGCAGCCGCGGUAGCCCCGGCGCCACAAGUGGGAAUCACAUUUAUUGGGUCUAAAGCGUUCGUAGCCGGUUUUGUAAGUCUUUUGUGAAAUUGUUAUCAUAAAAAUAACAACGUGCAAAAGAUACUGCAUUACUAGGGAUUGGGAAGGGUAAGGAGUACUCCAAGGGGAGCGGUAAAAUGUUAUAAUCCUUGGAAGACUACCUGUGGCGAAGGCGCCUUACUAGAACAACUCCGACGGUGAGGAACGAAAGCUAAGGGAGCAAACCGGAUUAGAUACCCGAGUAGUCUUAGCUGUAAACGCUGCGAGCAAGAUGUUGCAUAUUCUUAGUGAAUGUGCAGUGUCGAAGAGAAGUCAUUAAGCUCGCCACCUGGGAAGUAUGGUCGCAAGGCUGAAACUUAAAGGAAUUGGCGGGGGAGCAC
Molecule: ribosomal RNA, 552 nt
Filed under: uncultured archaeon
Lineage: Archaea
Description: bacterial SSU rRNA
Rfam family: Archaeal small subunit ribosomal RNA
Source: RNAcentral